RNAcentral lists this ribosomal RNA (521 nucleotides) under Penicillium flemingii. RNAcentral's name for it is "eukaryotic LSU rRNA". The stretch from base 182 to 334 matches the Rfam family "5.8S ribosomal RNA". Lineage: Eukaryota; Fungi; Ascomycota; Eurotiomycetes; Eurotiales; Aspergillaceae. The record is from RNAcentral.
CAUUACCGAGUGAGGGCCCUCUGGGUCCAACCUCCCACCCGUGUUUAUUUUACCUUGUUGCUUCGGCGGGCCCGCCUUAACUGGCCGCCGGGGGGCUUACGCCCCCGGGCCCGCGCCCGCCGAAGACACCCUCGAACUCUGUCUGAAGAUUGUAGUCUGAGUGAAAAUAUAAAUUAUUUAAAACUUUCAACAACGGAUCUCUUGGUUCCGGCAUCGAUGAAGAACGCAGCGAAAUGCGAUACGUAAUGUGAAUUGCAAAUUCAGUGAAUCAUCGAGUCUUUGAACGCACAUUGCGCCCCCUGGUAUUCCGGGGGGCAUGCCUGUCCGAGCGUCAUUUCUGCCCUCAAGCACGGCUUGUGUGUUGGGCCCCGUCCUCCGAUCCCGGGGGACGGGCCCGAAAGGCAGCGGCGGCACCGCGUCCGGUCCUCGAGCGUAUGGGGCUUUGUCACCCGCUCUGUAGGCCCGGCCGGCGCUUGCCGAUCAACCCAAAUUUUUAUCCAGGUUGACCUCGGAUCAGGUAG